RNAcentral lists this ribosomal RNA (9377 nucleotides) under Wolfiporia cocos. RNAcentral describes it as "large subunit ribosomal RNA". The stretch from base 49 to 3190 matches the Rfam family "Bacterial large subunit ribosomal RNA", at positions 15 to 2044 of the family's 2925-position model. Lineage: Eukaryota; Fungi; Basidiomycota; Agaricomycetes; Polyporales; Phaeolaceae. The record is from RNAcentral.
UAAAAGAAUCGAUGGCAAUAUAGUUCUAACAUCAAAAAGUAUUUCAAAGGGGUUAUUAAGGAUAACUAGCAAAUUUAUAAAAAAGGAGGUAAUAAACCAAAAGCCACAAGAUUAAUUUAUCAAUCCGAUUAUGGAUAGGUAAUUUAAUAUCAAUAAUUCUGGCGAUCCUAAGGGAAACCUUUAUUAUAAAAACUUCCCGAAGUAAAUCAUUUUAGUAGGGAAAGGAAAGGAAAUCAACCGAGACUCCGAAAGUAACGGCGAGUGAAAUCGGAAUAGCCUAUAUAAUUAAGCUUCAAUUGAAACUAUACCAAAGAAGGUAACUAUAAGUCCUGUAGAUUGUUGGAUAAUUAUCAAAUCUCUAUAGAAAAUAUAGACGACUAAAAAGUACGAUGAGAGAAAACUUGUCGGAAAAUAGGGGAACCAUCCUCUAAGGCUAAGUAUUAUAAAUUUCGCUAUAGUGAAAAGUACUUCAAAGGAAAAGUUGAAAAGAAUGUAAUAAUAGACAUAGUGAAAUAGUCUUGAAUUAGUAACUCUAUAAGCAGUCCAAAUUUAUACAACUAUAAAUAAGGGCGUACCUUUUGUAUAAUGGGUCAGCAAGUUAAUAGGAGUAGCAAGGUUAAAAGCCUUAGCGAAAGCGACUGCACUAACUAGCUAAAGUAUUUUGUUUAUUUUAUUUACUAAAAUAAGUUAUAAAUAGAAUAAUCCUUUAUUGUUAAGUUUAGUACAAGCAAUAAAGUCAAUUAUUUUCUAGGUAAUAGUGGCGGAUAAGUUACUUCUAUUAGACCCGAAGCAAGGUGAUCUUCCCAAGACCAGAUGUAUAAUGGAUCGAACGGGUGAAUGUUGCAAAAUUCUCCGAAGAGUUUUGGGAAGCGGUAGUAAAAUUAAUUGCCGCAUUGAAAAGUGAUUUUCAAUAAAAAACUAGCUCAUAACGGUGGAAACCUUUUAUCUUUAAGGUUAAUAGGAAAUACCGUGGGAAGUUGUAUCAGGCCCUUGGAUUAAUAAGAAUCCAGCCACAGUAACAAUACUAAAUUAGUAUAAUUCAUAUAAUUAAUAUUACAGAUAAAGUUCUUAUAGAGACGCUUCGCUUCUUAAUAGAUUAUAUGGAUAGUUGAUAUUAACCCCGUAACGACUUUAAUUGAAAAAUUAAGGCUUUAAAAAUAAAGCAAAACGCUAGCACUCUUAGUUACACUGGAUUAUGGUUUGAAUGUAUUUCCGCUCCGCGCGUCAACUAAAACCUAAGAUCCAUUAGAGUUGAAAGUAUAGUCUGAACUAUUUCGUAAGAAAUAGAUUAACAAAAUUGGAAAUGCCAAUCUGACCUUGUGCUAGCUGGUUUUCUACGAAACAUAUCUUAGUAUGACAUCUAUACAAAAUUUAUGGUGGUACAGCAAUUAAUUCCCAACUGGUAAUAGUAAUUAAUUUUGCUAUUACACCGGUUUAGGUUGAGGGGAACUAGAAAAUCUUACCAAUGGAAGAUAAACUCGAAAUGACAUAAAUUGAUGGUAGAUAUUCAGACUGCUCAUGAAAAAGUUGAGUAGUCAAGACGGAAACAGCCGAGAACACGCAAUCAAGGUCCCAAAUGAUUAUUCAGUGAAAUUAAGGAAAUAACAUAUCGAAUUCAGCUAGCACAGUGAGCUUAAAAAACUACACUCCGAGCUCUCCUCUGGGCUAAACCAAAAAAUUAGCUAUAUGCAAGAAAGCCCUAAAGAUGUUUUGACUGUAAAGGCGUUCUGUUCAUCUUAACAUCUUAACUAAAGAUGAAGAAAGUAAAGUAAAAUAAAACAUAUAGACUGACACUUCAAGGCUAUAGCAGAAGAGUAUUUGAAGUUUAAGGAAAAUGGGUAAUUUGCAAGAAGCGCAAAAUCAAUAGUUUCUUCAACGACUAUACGCUUAUAAUUUAAAAUAUAUAGUUUAUAUGAAAAAUUGUGACAAAGUCUUUCAAUAGAAAGUCCGAUUAAUGCAGGGUCUCAAUUCCUUUGCUAUUUGCUCGUUGAUCCCGUGCUACGUACACAAAUCUGUACAGGAGUACACGAGGGAUAAGGGAAUGAAGCAAUGCACGCUAUAGCACAAAAAUAAAUUGAACCCUCAAUCAGGACCGCGGCUCUUAUUCUCGCAUGCCGUACUUGCAUGUCCAGGAGCAGCGCUUCGUUCGGGAGGUAGCUAUUCUGAUAAUAAACGUAAUGUAACAACGUAGCAGCCCUUAGAAUGUUGUACCAAAAAUUUAACGGGUCUAAAUAAUCAACCGAUAUCGUGUUUAUUUUGAAUAAAAGGCAUAAUACAACUUUUUAUUCAUAAUAUAGGUAGUAGAACAUUCAGUAUACUUAAUAUAAAACAGUGUUUCAUUGUUUUUAGGUAACUGAAGAGAUAAUGCUGACAUUAAAUACUAGUGUCAGUCAAAAUAUUAAAUUAAAUGCUAGAAAGAUAUUAUUAUAAAUAAUAAUAUUUUAUAUUAAUUGUGUUAAAGUACAAUUUAAAAUAUAUAAAAUAAAAAAUAUUAACUAGCAAAUUUAAGUGAUAAAUUUCAACGACUAAACAUUUAAGUUUAAUUAUUUUUAUUAUUAAACAAGACAUAGUCUUUUUCCGUUUCUUUCGCUGCAGACAAAGUUACCCGUACGGGUCCUGUACAGUCAACGAGUGUGCAGCCAUACAUUUUUUUUGUAUAGCAGGCUAGCGAAAUAGAAAAAAGAAAGAAAAAGGAGAAGGAGUAACGUAAAAAGAAGUUAUAAUACUUCUCGCCGAAUACGAAAGGGUUAUAAGGAAAGGUUAAACCACCUUAUGUUAAUGCGGCCUCUAAGGAUAGAAGCUAAGGCUUCAACUGAUGAGUAGAUAACUGAAAGUCUUGCAUCAAGCCCGUACUAAAAAUUUAAGUGCGGAGCCGAAUAAGAACGGAGGGACAAGUACAGCACCGUAGGGUGUUUCACCUUUACGAAACUCCUUCGAGUGGAACAGGAAAAUUAAGUUAUAUCUAUAUGCUACCGUACCCUAAACCGACACAGGUUCGUAGGUAGAGAAUACUAAGGCGUAGAGCUAAAAGUUGUUAAGGAACUCGGCAAAUUCUCCUCAUAAGUUAGUCGAAAAGAGGAACCCUAUUUAAUUUCAAUUAUAAAUCUAUAAUUGGUUUUUUCACGUUCACUGUACGACGAAAUAGGGUGGCAGCAAAUCGGAGGCCCCGACUGUUUACUGACUCAGUAUUUUGGGAAAUACUAUUUUGGUACAAACUAUCAAACUACGGGAACCUCCUAAAGCUUUUGAUACCAAGCUAUAUUUGAAAAAAUAUAAGUGGCUGAACUAAUCACUCAGGUAUGGUAACAAGUCAAAAGAUAGAUGAAAAAAAAAUGGAAUAUCGCGUAUCUAAAUCAAUUUUAUUUUUAAUAAAAAUAGUCUUUUAUUUAACUAUUAUUUUUAUUUUAAUUUCUUUUUUAGUGGGAGCUAAUAUAGUACUAUUAUCUGCAGCACAUUAUUCCUGCUGUGGUGUAUGGUAAUGCCGACCUAGAAAAAUCUAAUAUUACUAUAGGAAAUAAACAAAAAGCGGGAGUUUAUAGAUGAGUCAACAAAAUUAACGGAAAAUGUUAUGUUGGUAGUUCUAUUAACUUGUCUAAUAGAUUUUAUUUUUAUUUCAAUUUAAAAGCUAUGCACGCUAUUUGACAUACUUCGAAAAUUUCUCUUAUUGCUUUGCAAUUAUUAAAAUACAAAAAAUAAGCCGUGCGGUCCUCCCCCUGGUGUACAGCCUCCGGUGCACGCACGCACGCUAUAGCAAAGCAAAGCAAAGCCGAGCGGAGCGCAAAGAAAAACCAUUUAAAGGAAGAUAUUUCGUGACUAAAUUAAAGCCAGAUAUUUCCUAAUUUAACUUAAAAUAAAAAUAAUUUAAACAAAUAAAAAGAAAAUCCGGUAGGCUUCUGUUGUACAGCUGUGGCUUAUUUAUUUUUAAAAUAAAUUAUACCUAAGGAUUUAAUUGUAAAAGAGCAACGAGUAGACGGUAGUUAAUUAUUGAAAAAUAAUUUAAGGUGUACUCUAAUGGGUUUCGAAAGAAAUUAUCCUGUCAAAAUCCCUUCUAAACAAAAUAAUAAAGUAAUCAAAAUAUUUAUAACGUAAUAACUCAUAACCAAAUUUACGUAAUUAUUUUUGAUUUUUAUUAUUCUGCAUGAUAAAUUUGAUGAUCGUGAAAAACAUAAUUCAGAGCAAUGAUUAAUAUAAUAGUAUUCUGAAUGAAAUUUGCCCAAUGCCAUUAAUAUAAGAGAGGUAAUGAACAGUUACUAAUCGAAAAUCUGGUUAAUAGCGGUCGAUUAAGGCCGCGUGUUUACACUAUUCACUAUUUGCUAGAAUCUCUUUAAUAACUUAUUACUAAUAACACACCGGUCGUCUCCUCUCCAGAGAUUUGCCUUGGAGGUAGGGUGCUCCGGUUCAGUAAAAAUAUAAGUUAUGAUGUUUGCAACAAAAAGACAACUAGCAGAUAAUAUUUAUAUUUAAUAACAAAAUAUAGAAUCUCAACGACUACAUGUGAAAUAAAAAAAUAUAGUCUAGUUUAUAAUGUACGUGUUGACAAAAUGCGCCCGACCUCUCUGCUUUGCAUCCUAUAGGGUGCUCGCUAUAGCAGGGCGCAUAGAUGGUACAUUCUAAAUAGCUUAUUAUUGAGGAUCCAAAGGUAGCAAAAUCAAUUGGCCAUUAAAUGUGGUAGCCCCGACCUCACGCGCGUAGCGCUGUACAGGAGGAUUGGUGUGCGAGAAUUUGCUUGUCUCGUAUAUAACCAAUUCAAAGUAAACAAAUUCUGUACUAUUGGUUAUCAGGCCUCAUUUAUAAAACUUCACUAUAUUCUGAAAAAUUUAACGGUAGAAUAAUUGUUUUUAUUACCCAACACUCUCUUUGCUAUAGCCUUCGUUGAUCGUACGCUAAAAAUAAUGGAGGAACAAUACUCUUCAAGAUAUUUGAAGUUUCCCUCCGGGCCCUUGGUGGCUAAUAAGAGCGGGGGUCAAAAUAUAAAAAAAGCGAAUUAAUCAGAAGAUAAUAUAAACUUUCAAAUUUGUACCCGAGGUGGUAACAAAACAAAGACAGAAGAAAUAUCUCAGAGACUACACGUGAAAAACAGCCGUAUAAUAAUUCAAAAAAGAACGGACGGCAGUUAAAUAUAUAGUCCAAACGGUUUUGGUUUUCAGCCAAAUAUGGUAUUAUUACUAUUAAUUUAAUAUUAAGAUCGUUUUGCUGGAAUGAGUAGUGUAACGAGGGCCUCACUGUCUCUACAACUUGCUCAGUGAAAUUGAAUUGUGAGUGAAGAUGCUCACUAUCUCCAGGUCAACGUCGGCCUUGUUUAAAUAUAAGAAAUUUCUACAAUCAAUGAAAAUCUUUAUAUUUAAUACUAAUCACUAAAUGCUUGAAGUCUUUUUACUAAUAAUCCAAACUUUUGGUAAAAUUUAUUAGCCUAUUGACUCGGUUCCGCUGUACAGCACGCUUGCCGUACGGCCAGCGGUUGUAUUCAUAAAAUAACAAUAAACUAAGGCACUAGAAAAAGUAAUAAGCAGCAGGCUGAAAAAGUCCGCUCAACGACUACACGUGAUAUAAAAAGAUAUAGUCUUAAUUCUUAUUUACAAGUUGGUCUUUCCUAAGAAUAUUAAUAAUCUCUCCUUCAAUAAACCGAAGGAUCUUGAUCUUUAAAUAAGGAAGGAAGCUUCCUCCGGUUUUUGCCCGGAGGAUAAGUGUGAAUAUGAAUCGGAGACGGGAAGACCCUGUGCAGCUUUACUGCAGUUAGUUAUCAUGUUGAUCUACAACAACCUUGGUUAAUAGUGAUUAGGGAAGUCGAUAGACGAAAAGUGGAAUACCUUAUAACGUUAGGUUGGGUCAAUAUUAACCUUAUAAUUUGAGGGAGAGUUGACUAAUGGGCAGUUUGACUGGGGCGGUCGUCUUUGAUAUAGUAGCAAAGUACAUCCAAAGAUUUGAAUAUAAAAUAAUAUCGCUUAUCUCUUUUUUUAUUUAAGAAAAUAGCUCUCUUUAGAGCAGCGAUAUCCAAACUUAAAGUUUAUAGAUGAAAUAAGUGUUUUAUUUAUUUCUAUUUAUAUCAUUUUUUAUUAAGAAAGGUAGAGCUAGAAUAUUGUAUGGGGAACAAUCUACCAGUGAGAAAGGUAGUAAUCGGCGUAAUGGCGGUAAGCUUGCCUAACUGUAAGACCUAGAAGUCGCACAGACACGUAAGUGUGGCAUAGUGACCCUCCGCUAUUUUAUGGAGCAGGCGGAGCUAAUUCGAUAACAUUAAAAUCUUAAAUUUAACUUUUGUCGCUUAAAUUAGAAAUAAUUUAUUGUAAAUUGGGUUAAUUUCAAGAAAAUCUCUUCUUGUACCCGUUCCGUUAUUAAUAUGCUCUUUCGAGCCCUCCCUUAUCCUUUAAAGGAAAUUCAAAAUAAUAACGAACAUAAAGGGUUGGCUUUUCUUUGGCUUUAACAAUAACAGAACAGUAGAGAGAUAACCUGAAGCGAAGCUAGGCAAGACAUAAACAAAAAAUUGCCUAGAACGUUCAACGACUAGUGGGUGAGUAUUUGUCAACAAUAAUCCCACCACGAAAGCCCGACAAUUAAUUGGAGCCGGAUCACUUGUAUUUCCAAGUACAAAAAAACCUUGGAUUAAUAAGUUAAUUACUUAGUUAAAAUCAAGGCAGAUCAUGGUUGUUGUUAUAAGAAGAACGAACGAAAUAACAAUUAAUUGAUGAUAUAGUCUGAACUAGCUGGUGACAGCUAGAAGCUUAUGAUAAAAAAAUAAGUGAUAACAUGAUUUGAAAAGUUACGCUAGGGAUGAACAUUACAUUAGUUGUCCCCCUCUGUCGAAAGAUUGAGUGGACUCAACAAAACAACAACUGGGUGAAUUGCAAAAACUACUUAAUAAGUAAAUUUGCAGCGAAGCUUAUCUUAGCAUCGUAAAAUAACUAUUUUAUAUAGUGAGAUAAGAACGUUCAACGACUAGAAAGUGAGUAAUGCUAAACAAUAAUCUUUCCACGAGCGCCCAGCAUCUAAUUAUGGCUCCGCUGCUCCGCCUCCGUACGGGGGUAGUUAAUAUAAUUAAGAUGAUGACAUAGUCUGAACCACUUUGUGAUAAGUGGAAAAUAGAGGAUUAAAUGGCCUUUACGCUAACAAAUUUGAACAGGUUAAUAGCCGGUGAGAGUACACAUUGUCCCGGCUGUUUGACACCUCGAUGUCGACUUUACUAAUCCUCCAGGGGCAGAAUCUUGGAAGGGUUCGGCUGUUCGCCGAUUCAAAAGUAACAUGAGUCAACUAGGCUCCUUAAUAACAGUAAUGUUAUAAAGAAAAAAUAGGGUAAAUUGCAAGGACUUCUUAAAUAUUACUAUCUAAGACAAUUUGCAGCGAAGCUUGAUUCGGUAUAUGGGCUUUAUUAAAAUAGCAGAAUCAAGAACGUUCAACGACUAACAAGUGAGUAAUACCAACAAUAAACUUGACACGAAACCCUACGUCCAUAGUAGUAAAAUGGAUGAUGACAUAGUCUAAGCAUUGUCGUGAGGCAAUGAAGAUAGGAUUAAAUUAUCUAUCGAUAAUAUACUGUGGGUAAAGAUAGCACCUUACUUAAAUUCUAAUAACAUACGUCCAUAUCUCAUUACUUUAAACCUAAUAGGUUAAUUACAUAGUUAAAAUCAAAUUUUAAUUGUGUAGAGAUAGUUCUUUAUAUUUUCUUAAGAACAUUUAUUAUCAUCUAACUAAUUAUGCCUCUAAAAACAAAUAGUACAAAUAUUAAUCAUUUAGUAAGCCAAAAUACAAAUAAUACAGUAAGCACAAAUUUAGAUCCUUAUUAUAUAAGUGGUAUGACUCAAACUGAUGGUUCAUUUUCUGCUAUAGCGGCGGAACUGAAAUUACCUCAGAUAACACAAUAAGAUUCAUACCUAAAUUUGAGUUAAAAGCGGAUUUAGACUCUAAACAAACUUUAGUUCAAAUUCAGGAAUAUUUUGGUUGUGGUCGAGUAACUGAGAACCAUAGUGAUCACACUGCAAGUUUUAUAGUAACUAAACAAAGUGAUUUAACCGAUAUUAUUAUUCCUCAUUUUAAAAAAUACCCUGUUUUUUUCAAUAAACUUCAUGCCUUUAAUUUAUUUAUUAAAGUAUUAGAUUUAUUGGCUAGAAAAGCUAAAAACAGGGAUAAUUUAUUAUUACUGAUCUAUGCUGUAUCUAUGAAUCCUGCUACCACUAAACGAAGUGAUGAACAAAAAUUAAAAUUGUUUCAAACACUAGGACAAAAUCAUAUUCUACCUACCAUUCCGGAUCAAAUUACAGAUAUGACCUCUGAGUUAACACCUGGAUUUGUAGCUGGAAUUUUGGACGGGGAUGGUUCCUUUAAUAUUACUUUUCAAAUUAAUGGUAAAAUUAAACCAGUGGUUAGUUUAUGUUUUGGGCCAACUGCUUUACCUUUGAGAGAAGCAUGUAAACAGUAUUUAGGCCCUUCAGGUUCGGUAUAUAAACAAAAAUCAAUUUUUGUCUGAAAAAUAUCUAGCCUGGAUGAUCUUAUAAAUUAUGUAAUCCCGUUUAUGGAUUCAAAUUCUAUUCAUACUCAAAAAAAAGAGCACUACUUGAUUUGGAAAGAAGUUUGUUUUAUGCUUAAAGCUGAGAAACACCUAUCUAAAGAAUCAUUGUUAAAAAUAGUAGAUAUGGCUUAUAACAUGAAUAAAGACGGUAAACGAAGAAAAUUAACUUUAGCCGAAUAUCUGAAAGUGAUUGAUACAUUAUAUCCUUAACCUUUUGUUUCCUUACUCCCCUGCAUCCUUUGCUAUAGCGUGGAUUUCGCAGCGUCGAAUCAACCAAAGGAAGGUUUUAUUUAAAUUUGUCUUAUUUUUUUUAUCGAUAAUUUGUUAUUAAGAAUUUAAGUAUUAUAGGUUAAGCCCCUUAAUAACUAAAUAAUGGAAAAUUUUAGUAUAUUAAGAAAACUGGGUAAAUUGCAAGGAUAACUUUCACUUUACAAAAAAUCAUUAAAGGAAAAGUCAAUUUGCAUCGAAGCUUACUUUGACAACAAGCCCGUACGGGAAUAAAGUAAGAACGUUCAACGACUAGAUGGUGAGCAAUGUCACAAUAACCCAUCCACGAAUACCCAGCAUUAAAGCCAAUUUAAUGAUGACAUAGUCUGAACAAUAGUGUGAACUAUUGAAGAAUAGAAUAAAUAGCUAUUCGAUAACAAAUUUGUUAAUACGACGUGAGUCAGUAUGGGUCCUAUCUUCUGGAGAGAAAAAUAGUAAAAAGGGGCAGACCUUCUAGUACGAAAGGAUCAAUAGGCUGUGUUUCCCUAGUGUACCAAUUGUUUAAAAUAGAAGAAAUUAAGCAUAGUUGGGUAGCCACAAACAUGAUAGAUAAGCGCUGAAUGAAUAUGAAGCAGGAAGCUAUCCCCUAGAUACUAUCAUUAGAUUCCUAUUU